This is a long non-coding RNA of Neofelis nebulosa (Clouded leopard), 2384 nucleotides long. RefSeq lists it as uncharacterized. Lineage: Eukaryota; Metazoa; Chordata; Mammalia; Carnivora; Felidae. The transcript is spliced from 4 exons. The record is from RefSeq and is a predicted model, not a curated record.
CGCAGGGCUGGCCCGCAGGCCGCUCCUGCGACUGCCGAGACUCGUCCGCCCCGCCCCUGCGGCCAGUGUGGCUUUUGACAGUCCGGUCUUUUGGAGAAGCCCCCCAGUCCUGGGCGUCCCCUGUAGGGCCUUUAGACCCGUGGCCCCCAGUGGCCUAAACCUCUGCGCCCUCCACUCAUCAGCCACUGCCCGCCCCACCUCGCGCUCUGCCUCCACGCGCCCUUGCAAACGCUCUCCGGAGCUUUGGUUAUCCCAGACUAACUCCCCGCGUUUUCCUCCUUCCUUUCAGGUCGCUGCCUUUCAGCCCCAGAAAUUUUUCUUCCUCUGGGCUGGGUCCUGAACCAGUUCCUAAGACGACCUGACCUUCUCCAUGGCUUCACCCCCAGACCCAGGGCACCCAUAGCGCCAAAUCUGUAUCUCCCAAGCAUCCAACUGCCGGCUCCACGUCCCUCUUCAAACUGCUCUUUCUGCUGUCGUUACUUUCUCAGAACAUGGCCCCAAUUCUUCUAAGAUGCUUGGGCCAAGACCUUUGGAGGUAUCCUUGAGCCCUCAGUCGGCCUCCACCACCCAGCAAUCUUGUAAGGCCUGUUUACCACGGAAUAUCUCCACUCCUCCCACAAACCCAACAUCUGUCUUUUCUCAUCCAGACUAUUUACCCUCCUUGGUCUGGUCUGCGUCUAUUCUUCAUGCUUCAGUCUUUAAAAAGAAAUUUAAAUUGUGAUCCCCUACCUUUGGCUUCAAACCCUCCAUGACUUCCCAUUGCAUGUAAAAUUCACACUCACCACUGUCCCAGCUGGUCCUGUGUGGUCUGGCCCCUUUCUUUCUCUCCCAGUUCAUCUCUCCCCACCUCCUCUUCACUCUCCAUUCUCCAGCCACAAGGCCUUUAAGUGGUUAUUUGAAUAAUUCACACUCCAUCUUCCGGAAACCAUUUCCCUAGACUUGCCUCUGCAAUGUGGACACCCCUGUCACAGACAAACUGAAGACACUUGUGGUCACAGUGGAGCCCAUCUGACAGAUGUUGAGUCAGGCAGAGCAGGACAACUUCAGAGGCGAGAGGCCCAGCAGAGCACCCAGCUGGUGCCAGAGAAAGAUCCAGGCUUCUGGAAUUUGGCCAGGCCCCCAGGGGCUCCAGAAAUCUCUGUCUACAGGAGCUCAAGUUUUCAGCCUGCUGCCAGGCCCUUAAUCAGAAAACAAGGCCCCAUUUCCUCCUGGGACUUCUGAACCAGCAUCCCAAGCCUCAGAUGAAAAAACUGAGGCACAGAGAGAUUAAGAGACAUGUUUAUGGACAUAGAACUGAGAGGUGGCAGAGAGGGGAUUCAAACCCAGGCAUCCUGGCUGCAGAGUCAAUGCUAUGUUGCCUCUCAUGUAGUGUAAAGUUUGGUGAGAUUUGACGAACGGAUGCCCUCCUGUAACCUCCACCUAAUCAAGAUAUGGAACAUUUCCAUCACACUGAAGUUUCUUGGUUCCUCUUUGUAGUCCAUCUCCGCUGCCCCCAUCUGGCAGUCACUAACCUACUUUCCAUCACUAGAGUAGUGGUGCCCAUUCUGGAAUUUCACAUACUUGGAAUCAAGGAGUAUGUACCCUUGGUCUCUGUUCAGCAUGUUUUCGAGACUCAUUCAUGUUGUUGCAGAGAGAGUACUUUUCGGGUCAGUAUGUUAUGCUAUUACUAGAAAUUUCAAUCUGAGCAUCAUUAUCUUUCAUAUAUAACAUUAAAACAGGUUUCAUUUCUCCCAGGGGUAUAUAUUACUGCAUAACUACUUAACUUUUAUGGAAAAUUUCAAAUGGAUCUAAGUGUAGACAGGACAGUAUAGUGAGCUUCCUUGUGCCUAUCAGCCACCUUCAAUUAUGAACUGAUGGCCACUCUUGUUUCAUGUCAAACUCCACCCACUAACCAACCCCUUCCAUAUUGACACAAAUCUUAAUUCUGUUACAUGUAUUUCAGUGGUUUUCUGAAACUGUUUCAAAAAAAUAUAUAUAUGAUCUCUACCAAACCUAAAAAAAAAAAUCAAUACCGUAUUGCUAUUAAAGUGACCUUUGAGAGGCUUGUUUAUACAUAAUACUUGGGAUUGUGAGAAAUAAUUACUAAGUCUGUGGUAAAUUUCUUUGCCUCUUUGUUUACUGAUUUUGUCAGGGGACUACUUGUAAUCGUCCAAAACUAGCUUGACUGAGGUCAUUUCAGGGUAAUGUGUUUUCUCCAAAAAGCGCUUUUUGGUUCAAAACAAGUUGAGAGCAUCCCAUUGUAUGAGGGAUUCUGUAAAGACCAAAAUGUAGUAAGUAAACUCUUUUCUCAGAAUACAUGUUUUUUUUUUUUUUUAAGUUUUCUGAGGGGGAACUACCUAUGUUUGGUGUAUUUAGGAGGGGAUUUCAGUUGGUAAUUUACCAGG